Long non-coding RNA from Orcinus orca (killer whale), 430 nucleotides. RefSeq lists it as uncharacterized. The record is from RefSeq and is a predicted model, not a curated record. NCBI's taxonomy places the organism in Eukaryota, Metazoa, Chordata, Mammalia, Artiodactyla, Delphinidae. The transcript is spliced from 3 exons.
GUUCCUUUUCUCCUCCCCUGCUGGAAGCACACGGGGAUUUUCCCUCCAAUAUUCACUUGUGAGAGCAGAUUGGGGACCUGGAGGUAAAGUUCACAAACAGGCAAGACUCCAGCCUCCAUGACCUCCCCUGAGUGCCAAAGGGAAGGUUCGAACAGCUGCUAAUCAAGGGAGGAGCGGCCAAGAAACCACCGGAGGCGGAGGCGAGAUCACAGGGACCCGAGAAGCUCGGCAAGGCCUCGAGAAGCUCAUCAAGGAGGCCCGCGCCUGAGACCCCGCGGCCCCUCAUCUUGUCAGCAACCCCGCCCUUGGGAGAAGGUGAAUCACAGCUUAAAGAGAAAACAAGCCACGAUCCUGCUGCGGAAGCUUCCCGCGUCGGGAGGCAGUGGGAGGCUUGGGGUCCUGUCCAGCCCUGGCCGGCCAGGUGUGAAGA